UCCCUCUUAGCUCAGUGGUAGAGCGCGUCACUAGUAUCGCUUCCUUCUUCAAAAUGCUAUUCUAUGACGAGGUCAGUCGUUCAAGUCGGCUAGAGGGAA
Molecule: non-coding RNA, 99 nt
Organism: Lyophyllum atratum
Lineage: Eukaryota; Fungi; Basidiomycota; Agaricomycetes; Agaricales; Lyophyllaceae
Source: the annotation of a GenBank genome assembly